Molecule: ribosomal RNA, 253 nt
Filed under: uncultured bacterium
Lineage: Bacteria
Description: partial 16S ribosomal RNA
Rfam family: Bacterial small subunit ribosomal RNA
Source: RNAcentral
UACGUAGGGUGCGAGCGUUAAUCGGAAUUACUGGGCGUAAAGCGUGCGCAGGCGGUUCGUUAAGACAGGUGUGAAAUCCCCGGGCUUAACCUGGGAAUGGCGCUUGUGACUGGCGGGCUUGAGUACGGCAGAGGGAGGUGGAAUUCCACGUGUAGCAGUGAAAUGCGUAGAGAUGUGGAGGAACACCGAUGGCGAAGGCAGCCUCCUGGGCCAGUACUGACGCUCAUGCACGAAAGCGUGGGGAGCAAACAGG